Molecule: small nuclear RNA, 111 nt
Organism: Nannospalax galili (Upper Galilee mountains blind mole rat)
Lineage: Eukaryota; Metazoa; Chordata; Mammalia; Rodentia; Spalacidae
Source: Ensembl
AUGCUCACUUCAAAAGUACAUACACUAAAAUUGGAACGAUACAGAGAAGAUUAGCAUGGCCCCUGCACAAGGAUGACAAGCAAAUUCAUGAAACAGUAAAUAAAUAAUUUU